UGUCGGUCCCCUCGCAACGAUUCGCCGUGAACCCGGUCAGGCCCGGAAGGGAGCAG
RNAcentral lists this signal recognition particle RNA (56 nucleotides) under Gammaproteobacteria bacterium. RNAcentral describes it as "partial signal recognition particle sRNA small type". It matches the Rfam family "Bacterial small signal recognition particle RNA", at positions 1 to 56 of the family's 97-position model. From Rfam's summary of the family: The signal recognition particle (SRP) is a universally conserved ribonucleoprotein involved in the co-translational targeting of proteins to membranes. The record is from RNAcentral. Lineage: Bacteria; Pseudomonadati; Pseudomonadota; Gammaproteobacteria.